Molecule: non-coding RNA, 54 nt
Organism: Salmo salar (Atlantic salmon)
Lineage: Eukaryota; Metazoa; Chordata; Actinopteri; Salmoniformes; Salmonidae
Source: Rfam
UGCAUUCACUACUGUAAGUCACUCUGGAUAAGAGUGUCUGCUAAAUGACUAAAG